Molecule: ribosomal RNA, 791 nt
Filed under: uncultured archaeon
Lineage: Archaea
Description: bacterial SSU rRNA
Rfam family: Archaeal small subunit ribosomal RNA
Source: RNAcentral
GGCAGACGGCUCAGUAACGCGUAGUCAACCUACCCUAUGGACGGGGAUAACCUCGGGAAACUGAGAAUAAUACCCGAUAGAACAUUAUGCCUGGAAUGGUUUAUGUUUCAAAUAAUUUAUUGCCGUAGGAUGGGACUGCGGCCUAUCAGUUUGUUGGUGAGGUAAUGGCCCACCAAGACUAUUACAGGUACGGGCUCUGAGAGGAGUAGCCCGGAGAUGGGUACUGAGACACGGACCCAGGCCCUAUGGGGCGCAGCAGGCGAGAAAACUUUGCAAUGUGCGAAAGCACGACAAGGUUAAUCCGAGUGGUUUCUGCUAAAGGAACCUUUUGUCAGUCCUAGAAACACUGAUGAAUAAGGGGUGGGCAAGUUCUGGUGUCAGCCGCCGCGGUAAAACCAGCACCUCAAGUGGUCAGGAUGAUUAUUGGGCCUAAAGCAUCCGUAGCCGGCUCUGUAAGUUUUCGGUUAAAUCUGUACGCUCAACGUACAGGCUGCCGGGAAUACUGCAGAGCUAGGGAGUGGGAGAGGUAGACGGUACUCGGUAGGAAGGGGUAAAAUCCUUUGAUCUAUUGAUGACCACCUGUGGCGAAGGCGGUCUACCAGAACACGUCCGACGGUGAGGGAUGAAAGCUGGGGGAGCAAACCGGAUUAGAUACCCGGGUAGUCCCAGCUGUAAACUAUGCAAACUCAGUGAUGCAUUGGCUUGUGGCCAAUGCAGUGCUGCAGGGAAGCCGUUAAGUUUGCCGCCUGGGAAGUACGUACGCAAGUAUGAAACUUAAAGGAAUUGGCGGG